UACGUAGGGGGCAAGCGUUGUCCGGAAUUAUUGGGCGUAAAGCGCACGUAGGCGGCUUAGCAAGUCGGAAGUGAAAUCCCUCGGCUCAACCAAGGAAGUGCUUUCGAAACUGCUGAGCUUGAGUACUUAAGAGGAUCGCGGAAUUCCCGGUGUAGAGGUGAAAUUCGUAGAUAUCGGGAGGAACACCGGUGGCGAAGGCGGCUUCCUGGACCGACACUGACGCUGAGGCGCGAAAGCUAGGGGAGCAAACGGG
RNAcentral lists this ribosomal RNA (253 nucleotides) under uncultured bacterium. Its description in RNAcentral is "partial 16S ribosomal RNA". It matches the Rfam family "Bacterial small subunit ribosomal RNA", at positions 524 to 776 of the family's 1533-position model. The record is from RNAcentral.